Non-coding RNA from Nephila pilipes (giant wood spider), 82 nucleotides. Lineage: Eukaryota; Metazoa; Arthropoda; Arachnida; Araneae; Nephilidae. The record is from the annotation of a GenBank genome assembly.
GCUGCGGUAGCCUAGUGGUCAUGGUUUCGGAUUUGUGAUUCGAGGUUUCGAUGCUUGGUCGCUUAAGACCCGACGUGUAGCU